CAGAUUGAACGCUGGCGGCAUGCCUUACACAUGCAAGUCGAACGGUAACGCGGGGCAACCUGGCGACGAGUGGCGAACGGGUGAGUAAUGCAUCGGAACGUGCCCAGUAGUGGGGGAUAGCCCGGCGAAAGCCGGAUUAAUACCGCAUACGACCUGAGGGUGAAAGGGGGGGGAUCGCAAGACCUCUCGCUAUUGGAGCGGCCGAUGUCAGAUUAGGUAGUUGGUGGGGUAAAGGCCUACCAAGCCGACGAUCUGUAGCUGGUCUGAGAGGACGACCAGCCACACUGGGACUGAGACACGGCCCAGACUCCUACGGGAGGCAGCAGUGGGGAAUUUUGGACAAUGGGCGCAAGCCUGAUCCAGCCAUGCCGCGUGCGGGAAGAAGGCCUUCGGGUUGUAAACCGCUUUUGUCAGGGAAGAAAUCUUCUGGGCUAAUACCUCGGGAGGAUGACGGUACCUGAAGAAUAAGCACCGGCUAACUACGUGCCAGCAGCCGCGGUAA
This 502-nucleotide ribosomal RNA is filed under the name uncultured bacterium. RNAcentral describes it as "bacterial SSU rRNA". It matches the Rfam family "Bacterial small subunit ribosomal RNA", at positions 25 to 523 of the family's 1533-position model. The record is from RNAcentral.